GAUGAACGCUGGCGGCGUGCUUAACACAUGCAAGUCGAACGGGAUCCAUCAGGCUUUGCUUGGUGGUGAGAGUGGCGAACGGGUGAGUAAUGCGUGACCGACCUGCCCCAUACACCGGAAUAGCUCCUGGAAACGGGUGGUAAUGCCGGAUGCUCCGACUCCUCGCAUGGGGUGUCGGGAAAGAUUUCAUCGGUAUGGGAUGGGGUCGCGUCCUAUCAGGUAGUCGGCGGGGUAACGGCCCACCGAGCCUACGACGGGUAGCCGGCCUGAGAGGGCGACCGGCCACAUUGGGACUGAGAUACGGCCCAGACUCCUACGGGAGGCAGCAGUGGGGAAUAUUGCACAAUGGGCGCAAGCCUGAUGCAGCGACGCCGCGUGCGGGAUGACGGCCUUCGGGUUGUAAACCGCUUUUGAUCGGGAGCAAGCCUUCGGGUGAGUGUACCUUUCGAAUAAGCA
Molecule: ribosomal RNA, 456 nt
Filed under: uncultured bacterium
Lineage: Bacteria
Description: bacterial SSU rRNA
Rfam family: Bacterial small subunit ribosomal RNA
Source: RNAcentral